CCGAGGCCCCUCGCAAGUCUCGCCCCAUUCCGAGUCCGGCGGACGAACUUCGCCCGCGCCCCCCACCAAGGCUAUAGCCCACCCGUUUUUUGGCCAUUUUUCCGCUGGGGGGUUUUGGCACCACGACCUUCGGGCGCUUAUUUCUGGACGCGGCUGUGCCCGCGACUUCCCGCGGGCACCCCGAGGCCCCUCGCAAAGUCUCGCCCCAUUUCGAGUCCGGCGGACGAACUUCGCCCGCGCCCCCCACCAAGGCUAUAGCCCACCCGUUUUUUGGCCAUUUUUCCGCUGGGGGGUUUUGGCACCACGACCUUCGGGCACUUAUUUUUGGGUGCGGCUUUGCCCACGGCUUAUUUUUGGCACCCCGAGGCCCCUCGCAAAGUCUCGCCCCAUUCCGAGUCCGGCGGACGAACUUCGCCUGCGCCCCCCACCAAGGCUAUAGCCCACCCGUUUUUUGGCCAUUUUUCCGCUGGGUGUUUUUGGCACCACGACCUUCGGGCGCGGCUUUGCCCGCGGCUUAUUUUUGGCACCCCGAGGCCCCUUGCAAAGUCUCGCCCCAUUCCGAGUCCGGCGGACGAACUUCGCCCGCGCCCCCCACCAAGGCUAUAGCCCACCCGUUUUUUGGCCAUUUUUCCGCUGGGGGGUUUUGGCACCACGACCUUCGGGCACUUAUUUUUGGGCGCGGCUUUGCCCGCGGCUUAUUUUUGGUGCCCCGAGGCCCUGCGCAAAGUCUCGCCCCAUUCCGAGUCCGGCGGACGAACUUCGCCCGCGCCCCCCACCAAGGCUAUAGCCCACCCGUUUUUUGGCCAUUUUUCCGCUGGGUGUUUUUGGCACCACGACCUUCGGGCGCGGCUUUGCCCGCGGGUUAUUUUUGGCACCCCGAGGCCCCUCGCAAAGUCUCGCCCCAUUCCGAGUCCGGCGGACGAACUUCGCCCGCGCCCCCCACCAAGGCUAUAUUCCACCCGUUUUUUUGCCAUUUUUCCGCUGGGGGGUUUUGGCACCACGAACUUCGGGCGCUUAUUUUUCCACGCGGCUGUGUCCGCGACUUCCCGCGGGCACCCCGAGGCCCCUCGCAAAGUCUCGCCCCAUUCCGAGUCCGGCGGACGAACUUCGCCCGCGCCCCCCACCAAGGCUAUAGCCCACCCGUUUUUUGGCCAUUUUUCCACUGGGGGGUUUUGGCACCACGACCUUCGGGCGCUUAUUUUUGGGCGCGGCUUUGCCCGCGGCUUAUUUUUGGCACCCGAGGCCCCGCGCAAAGUCUCGCCCCAUUCCAAGUCCGGCGGACGAACUUCGCCCGCGCCCCCCACCAAGGCUAUAGCCCACCCGUUUUUUGGCCAUUUUUCCACUGGGGGUUUUGGCACCACGACCUUCGGGCGCUUAUUUUUGGGUGCGGCUUUGCCCGCGGCUUAUUUUUGGUGCCCCUAGGCCCCUCGCAAAGUAUCGCCCCAUUUCGAGUCCGGCGGACGAACUUCGCCCGCGCCCCCCACCAAGGCUAUAGCCCACCCGUUUUUUGGCCAUUUUUCCGCUGGGGGGUUUUGGCACCACGACCUUCGGGCGCUUAUUUUUGGGCGCGGCUUUGCCCGCGGUUUAUUUUUGGCACCCGAGGGCCCGCGCAAAGUCUCGCCCCAUUCCAAGUCCGGCGGACGAACUUCGCCCGCGCCCCCCACCAAGGCUAUAGCCCACCCGUUUUUUGGCCAUUUUUCCACUGGGGGUUUUGGCACCACGACCUUCGGGCGCUUAUUUUUUGGUGCGGCUUUGCCCGCGGCUUAUUUUUGGUGCCCCGAGGCCCCUCGCAAAGUAUCGCCCCAUUUCGAGUCCGGCAGACGAACUUCGCCCGCGCCCCCCACCAAGGCUAUAGCCCACCCGUUUUUUGGCCAUUUUUCCGCUGGGGGGUUUUGGCACCACGACCUUCGGGCGCUUAUUUUUGGGCGCGGCUUUGCCCGCGUCUUAUUUUUGGCACCCCGAGGCCCCUCGCAAACUCUCGCCCCAUUCCGAGUCUGGCGGACGAACUUCGCCCGCGCCCCCCACCAAGGCUAUAGCCCACCCGUUUUUUGGCCAUUUUUCCGCUGGGGGGUUUUGGCACCACGACCUUCGGGCGCUUAUUUUUGGACGCGGCUAUGCCCGCGACUUCCCGCGGGCACCCCGAGGCCCCUCGCAAAGUCUCGCCCCAUUCCGAGUCCGACGGACGAACUUCGCCCGCGCCCCCCACCAAGGCUAUAGCCCACCCGUUUUUUGGCCAUUUUUCCGCUGGGGGGUUUUGGCACCACGACCUUCGGGCACUUAUUUUUGGACGCGGCUGUGCCCGCGAAUUCCCGCGGGUACCCCGAGGCCCCUCACAAAGUCACGCCCCAUUCCGAGUCCGGCAGACGAACUUCGCCCGCGCCCCCCACCAAGGCUAUAGCCCACCCGUUUUUUGGCCAUUUUUCCGCUGGGGGGUUUUGGCACCACGACCUUCGGGCGCUUAUUUUUGGGCGCGGCUUUGCCCGCGGCUUAUUUUUGGUGCCCCGAGGCCCUGCGCAAAGUCUCGCCCCAUUCCGAGUCCGGCGGACGAACAUCGCCCGCGGCCCCCACCAAGGCUAUAGCCCACCCGUUUUUUGCCCAUUUUUCCGCUGGGUGUUUUUGGCACCACGACCUUCGGGCGCAGCUUUGCCCGCGGGUUAUUUUUGGCACCCCGAGGCCCCUCGCAAAGUCUCGCCCCAUUCCGAGUCCGGCGGACGAACUUCGGCCGCGCCCCCCACCAUGGCUAUAGCCCACCCGUUUUUUGGCCAUUUUUCCGCUGGGGGGUUUUGGCACCACGACCUUCGGGCGCUUAUUUCUGGACGCGGCUGUGCCAGCGACUUCCCGCGGGCACCCCGAGGCCCCUCGCAAAGCCUCGCCCCAUUCCAAGUCCGGCGGAAGAACUUCGCCCGCGCCCCCCACCAAGGCUAUAGCCCACCCGUUUUUUGGCCAUUUUUCCGCUGGGGGGUUUUGGCACCACGACCUUCGGGCGCUUAUUUUUGGACGCGGCUGUGCCCGCGACUUCCCGCGGGCACCCCGAGGCCCCUCGCAAAGUCUCGCCCCAUUCCGAGUCCGGCGGACGAACUUCGCCCGCGCCCCCCACCAAGUCUAUAGCCCACCCGUUUUUUGGCCAUUUUUCCGCUGGGGGGUUUUGGCACCACGACCUUCGGGCGCUUAUUUCUGGACGCGGCUGUGCCCGCGACUUCCCGUGGGCACCCCGAGGCCCCUCGCAAAGUCUCGCCCCAUUCCAAGUCCGGCGGAAGAACUUCGCCCGCGCCCCCCACCAAGGCUAUAGCCCACCCGUUUUUUGGCCAUUUUUCCGCUGGGGGGUUUUGGCACCACGACCUUCGGGCGCUUAUUUUUGGGCGCGGCUUUCCCUGCGGCUUAUAUUUGGCACCCCGAGGCCCCUCGCAAAGUCUCGCCCCAUUCCGAGUCCGGCGGACGAACUUCGCCCGCGCCCCCCACCAAGGCGAUAGCCCACCCGUUUUUUGGCCAUUUUUCCGCUGGGGGGUUUUGGCACCACGACCUUCGGGCGCUUAUUUUUGGACGCGGCUGUGCCCGCCACUUCCCGCGGGCACCCCGAGGCCCCUCGCAAAGUCUCGCCCCAUUCCCAGUCCGGCGGACGAACUUCGUCCUCGCCCCCCACCAAGGCUAUAGCCCACCCGUUUUUUGGCCAUUUUUCCGCUGGGGGUUUUGGCACCACGACCUUUGGGCGCUUAUUUUUGGACGCGGCUGUGCCCGCGACUUCCCGCGGGCACCCCGAGGCCCCUCGCAAAGUCUCGGCCCAUUCCGAGUCCGGCGGACGAGCUUCGCCCGCGCCCCCCACCAAGGCUAUAGCCCACCCGUUUUUUGGCCAUUUUUCCGCUGGGGGGUUUUGGCACCACGACCUUCGGGUGCUUAUUUUUGGGCGCGGCUUUGCCCGCGGCUUAUUGUUGGCGCCCCGAGGCCCUGCGCAAAGUCUCGUCCCAUUCCGAGUCCGGCGGACGAAGUUCGCCCGCGCCCCCCACCAAGGCUAUAGCCCACCCGUUUUUUGGCCAUUUUUCCGCUGGGGGGUUUUGGCACCACGACCUUCGGGUGCUUAUUUUUGGACGCGGCUGUGCCCGCGACUUCCCGCGGGCACCCCGAGGCCCCUCGCAAAGUCUCGCCCCAUUCCGAGUCCGGCGGACGAACUUCGCCAGCGCCCCCCACCAAGGCUAUAGCCCACCCAUUUUUUGGCCAUUUUUCCGCUGGGGGGUUUUGGCACCACGACCUUCGAGCGCUUAUUUUUGGGCGCGGCUUUGCCCGCGGCUUAUUUUUGGCACCCCGAGGCCCCGCGCAUAGUCUCACCCCAUUCCGAGUCCGGCGGACGAACUUCGCCUGCACCCCCCACCAAGGCUAUAGCCCACCCGUUUUUUGGCCUUUUUCCGCUGGGGGGUUUUGGCACCACGACCUUUCGGCGCUUAUUUUUGGGACGCGGCUUGCCCGCAGCUUAUUUUUGGCGCCCCGAGGCCCCUCGCAAAGUCUCGCCCCANNNNNNNNNNNNNNNNNNNNNNNNNNNNNNNNNNNNNNNNNNNNNNNNNNNNNNNNNNNNNNNNNNNNNNNNNNNNNNNNNNNNNNNNNNNNNNNNNNNNNNNNNNNNNNNNNNNNNNNNNNNNNNNNNNNNNNNNNNNNNNNNNNNNNNNNNNNNNNNNNNNNNNNNNNNNNNNNNNNNNNNNNNNNNNNNNNNNNNNNNNNNNNNNNNNNNNNNNNNNNNNNNNNNNNNNNNNNNNNNNNNNNNNNNNNNNNNNNNNNNNNNNNNNNNNNNNNNNNNNNNNNNNNNNNNNNNNNNUUUUGGGCACGGCUUUGCCCGCGGCUUAUUUUUGGCACCCUGAGGCCCCUCGCAAAGUCUCGCCCCAUUCCGAGUCCGGCGGACGAACUUCGCCCGCGCCCCCCACCAAGGCUAUAGCCCACCCGUUUUUUGGCCAUUUUUCCGCUGGGGGGUUUUGGCACCACGACCUUCGGGUGCUUAUUUUUGGACGCGGCUGUGCCCGCGACUUCCCGCGGGCACCCCGAGGCCCCUCGCAAAGUCUCGCCCCAUUCCGAGUCCGGCGGACGAACUUCGCCAGCGCCCCCCACCAAGGCUAUAGCCCACCCAUUUUUUGGCCAUUUUUCCGCUGGUGGGUUUUGGCACCACGACCUUCGAGCGCUUAUUUUUGGGCGCGGCUUUGCCCGUGGCUUAUUUUUGGCACCCCGAGGCCCCGCGCAAAGUCUCACCCCAUUCCGAGUCCGGCGGACGAACUUCGCCUGCACCCCCCACCAAGGCUAUAGCCCACCCGUUUUUUGGCCAUUUUUCCGCUGGGGGGUUUUGGCACCACGACCUUCGGGCGCUUAUUUUUGGGCGCGGCUUUGCCCCGCAGCUUAUUUUUGGCACCCCGAGGCCCCUCGCAAAGUCUCGCCCCAUUUCGAGUCCGGCGGACGAACUUCGCCCGCGCCCCCCACCAAGGCUAUAGCCCACCCGUUUUUUGGCCAUUUUUCCGCUGGGGGGUUUUGGCACCACGACCUUCGGGCGCUUAUUCUUGGACGCGGCUGUGCCCGCGACUUCCCGCGGGCACCCCGAGGCCCCUCGCAAAGUCUCGCCCCAUUCCGAGUCCGGCGGAGGAACUUCGCCCGCGCCCCCCACCAAGGCUAUAGCCCACCCGUUUUUUGGCCAUUUUUCCGCUGGGGGGUUUUGGCACCACGACCUUCGGGCGCUUAUUUUUGGGCACGGCUUUGCCCGCGGCUUAUUUUUGGCACCCUGAGGCCCCUCGCAAAGUCUCGUCCCAUUCCGAGUCCGGCGGACGAACUUCGCCCGCGCCCCCCACCAAGGCUAUAGCCCACCCGUUUUUUGGCCAUUUUUCCGCUGGGGGGUUUUGGCACCACGACCUUCGGGCGCUUAUUUUUGGACACGGCUGUGCCCGCGACUUCCCGCGGGCACCCCGAGACCCCUCGCAAAGUCUCGCCCUAUUCGGAGUCCGGCGGACGAACUUCGCCCGCGCCCCCCACCAAGGCUAUAGCCCACCCGUUUUUUGGCCAUUUUUCCGCUGGGGGGUUUUGGCACCACGACCUUCGGGUGCUUAUUUUUGGGCGCGGCUUUGCCCGCGGCUUAUUGUUGGUGCCCCGAGGCCCUGCGCAAAGUCUCGUCCCAUUCAGAGUCCGGCGGACGAAG
This 6157-nucleotide long non-coding RNA is filed under the name Citrus x clementina. RNAcentral describes it as "Citrus clementina (C. clementina) long non-coding RNA (CCLE_LNC001209)". The record is from RNAcentral. Lineage: Eukaryota; Viridiplantae; Streptophyta; Magnoliopsida; Sapindales; Rutaceae.